This 305-nucleotide ribosomal RNA is filed under the name uncultured bacterium. RNAcentral's name for it is "bacterial SSU rRNA". It matches the Rfam family "Bacterial small subunit ribosomal RNA", at positions 337 to 640 of the family's 1533-position model. The record is from RNAcentral.
UCCUACGGGGGGCAGCAGUGAGGAAUAUUGGUCAAUGGUCGGGAGACCGAACCAGCCAAGCCGCGUGAGGGAUGAAGGUACAGAGUAUCGUAAACCUCUUUUGUCAGGGAACAAAGGCGGGGACGUGUCCCCGGAUGAGUGUACCUGAAGAAAAAGCAUCGGCUAACUCCGUGCCAGCAGCCGCGGUAAUACGGAGGAUGCGAGCGUUAUCCGGAUUUAUUGGGUUUAAAGGGUGCGCAGGCGGUCUUUUAAGUCAGCGGUCAAAGCCCGGGGCUCAACCCCGGCCCGCCGUUGAAACUGGCAGG